CCGCACAAGCAGCGGCAGAACUCCCGGAUCCAUCCCUCUUUGUCGGAGUCCGCUGCUGAUCAUAGACUAAUCAUCCGUGCACUGGCAACUGCAAACCGUUCUCUUUUUUUCUGCGAGUGUAGAUACACGUGCAGUGAUCGACCCUACACGGACAGCUUACAUCCACCGCUCGGCCCCCCGAAGACGCCUUCAGCAACGAUAGAUCGAUAACUGGCACGUGCGCCCCUACUCAUUCUUCACCUUUUCACUCUCUCAUCAGCCUCGUGUGCUGAGGUGCAGCACUCGUCAAGUGUGCGUCGGCCCCCCCCCCUCCCCCCGUCUUUGACGGCCGGCGGCGUCGAUGGGGCGCCCCUCCCUCAUGGAGCGGUACUUCGCUCAGUGCCAGGCGCAUCGCACUUCACCGCACCCGGCGUUUGUUGCCGGUCUCCGCGAGGGCGCGAUGGACAUAAACUUCGCGGAGAUUCCUCUUGCCGACAUCCGCCUCUUUGCGCACGCACUCCUGGACGUGUCCCCAGCAGCUCGCGCCGCGCGUUCGCCAGCAGCACGGUCUCGGAAUACAUCAGGACAGCUGAGUCGACGAGACGCUGCCUCAGACACUAGCCCGUCCUCUCGGCCGAGAACAAGCGCCUUCUCGCGGACGCAGUUCGCCAAGCUUCACUUUUCUUACAACGCUACGGUGCCAGCGGCGCAGCUCCCGUGCGGCGCGGCCUCGCCGCCUGCGUCAACGCCUUGGUUCACUCAGAAUGAGCCGACGCUGCGGCGUCUGCCACAGGCAGUGGCGCAGGCAGUGAAGGAAAGCGCCACCACCCUGAGCUCCUUCUCCUGGUGCGGCAUGCCGCUCACUAGCAUGGCGGUGCAGGGUCGUGCACCGCUGCAGCAGCAGCGAGGCAUUGGACGAGUGCUGCCGUCGCUGACACGCGUUCUCCCACUGUGCCAUUGUCUCACCUCCCUGCGCCUGGACGGUGUCCCACUCUCGCAUGCGCAGUUCAUGCAGCUGACUACGCCCUUCCCCAAGUCACCUGAGGCAUCGGCGGACGGCGGUGUGACGUGGCCGGCGCUGGAGGAGGCAAGCUUUGUGGGGUGCGGACUGACUGAUGCGUGCAAAAACGGCCUCGUGCACCUCAUACGUGCCGCCGUGCCGACUGCCUCGGACUCCACGUGGCAGCGCUCGCUGCGGGGCGGCUACGCGAAUCUGGACGAUCGACUUUUGCCACGGCCAGCCGGCGGCACCGUGCCUCUCGGUCACUCGGCGACGCGGGGUCUGAAGGGGCUAGAUGCCAGUCAAAACCCGCUGGGCGACGAGACAGCGCGUGCGGUCGCAAACGCUGUUCCCGGCUCCGCCCUACGCUAUCUUAACAUGUCCAGCACCUCCAUCACCUGGAUGGGCGGCUCCUUGCUAGCUUCGCGUCCGGUGCUGGAGGGCACUGCAAUGGAGCUGCUGGACAUGAGCAACACGGGCGUCAGCGAGGUGUUCUCCCACGCCGGGGGUGCUGCGGAGGCAAAGAUGCUGGUCGAGUCUAGCGCCGCCGCCGGCUUCCGGGUGCUGGCGCGUGGUAUGGGGCAGUUGCUGGUCCUGAGAGAGUCGGAUCGCUCGCCGCAGCAGUCGUGGCUUAUUCAAACGACCACUGCUAUCGCGCCACAGCCGUCGCCAGCGUCAGCGCCGGAGCCGCCACACGUGGAGUCCCCCACGAUCCCCACGUGCCCCCCGGCCUCCGUGAUUGAGAUGGAGAGGGUGGCGCCGCCAGCACCACCAGCCCCACCAGCCCCACCACUGCCAUCCUCCAACACUGGCGAUCAACACAGCGCUCCACAAUCUGUCCAUAACUCAGCUGCUGCUCCAGGGCCUGCUGUGAGCCCCUACGGACCCUGGUGGCCCAUGUUCGCCAGUUGGUACGCUGCACGAGACACCAACAUUCCCACAAGCUCAGCCGAUGCUGCGGCGACAGGUAGCUCUGCUGCUGGUCUGGUCAAAGGGUAUAUACCGGUGCCGGUUCCGUUUCCGAUGUUGGCUCCCAUGCCGAUUCCCUAUACCGCUCCUCAUGGAGAGGAUCUCCCCUUCGCCGGUGCGGCCACCGUGGCUGCCGCCGCCGCCACUUCUCCCCACGAGACGGGUGCUGUGGCUGAGGACAGCACGCCUUUUCCAGAGCGAAGGGUUUCCACCCCUCCCGCCGACGACCCCAUCGACGUGGCGGCAGAGACAUCGGUGCCGUUGCCUUCACCUACCUCUUCAGGCGAGAAGCACGACAAGGAGGGUGGCGGGAGUUUCACGGGUGGUCUUUCGAACCCCCCUGACGCGGCAUCGACAGCGUCCCAAGCUGCGGCCGUUGCCGCGAGCGCGUCUGACGACCUUGUGCACCGGGCGAGCGAAACCGCCGGGGACCGCAAGUUUCUCCUUGCACUGAUCAGCCGCCUCGAGGCACACGAGAGCGACGUCACCGAGCGCCUUGAGGCACAGUACCAGCGAACGACAGCGCAGCUGACGUCGUUGGAGAAGGACAUGCGCUUUCGCCUUCAGCAACUUGCCGACGCGGAUCGCAAGGAGCGGGCGGCAGCGGCGGACCGGCAAACGGCCUUGCUCGAGGCCCUGGCCGCCCUCCGCGCCGAGCCGGUUGCCGUGUCUGCGGAGGGCAUGACGGAGACGAUGCUGCUACAGCUCAUGCAUCUCAUAGAGGCGGGGAUGGGAAAGGUACAGACGGCGUUGGGCGCAGAAGGCGCUGUAGGUACGAAGAGCGCGAGGGCUGGAGAGAGCAGGGUAUCACCGCUGUUGCGCUCCAAAGAGGCCGCCACCCAUGUCGGUGCGGCAACGAUCACGGACCGUGAUCUGGUGAAGACGGCGAGCCAGCGUCUCAAAGAGCUUGGCUGGUAAGCACUGCGCACGGCGCUUUCGUUUGUGUGUGCCUUUUUUUUUCGCAAUCGCUCUGUGAUGGGCCGCCGCUUCGUCGAUCGGCGCCGUCGUCAGGCUGCUGUUCCUCUCUCGACUCCAGCGGCGUAUGCACCUGCGUGCCAGACCACGCCAAUGCGCUGGCGCGCAUGCGACAUGCACACACAAGCGCAUACAUGCACGAACACAAACACAUCAACGGCACGCGUGC
RNAcentral lists this unclassified non-coding RNA (3092 nucleotides) under Leishmania donovani. RNAcentral's name for it is "gene:LdHU3.36.5450(CDS-product:hypothetical_prote in_conserved)". Lineage: Eukaryota; Euglenozoa; Kinetoplastea; Trypanosomatida; Trypanosomatidae. The record is from RNAcentral.